RNAcentral lists this ribosomal RNA (465 nucleotides) under uncultured bacterium. Its description in RNAcentral is "partial 16S ribosomal RNA". It matches the Rfam family "Bacterial small subunit ribosomal RNA", at positions 338 to 795 of the family's 1533-position model. The record is from RNAcentral.
CCUACGGGAGGCAGCAGUAGGGAAUUUUCGUCAAUGGGCGCAAGCCUGAACGAGCAAUGCCGCGUGAACGAGGAAGGUCUUCGGAUCGUAAAGCCCUGUUGAAGGGGAAAAAGAGCGGAGAGAGGAAAUGCUUUCUGAUUGAUAUUACCCUUCGAGGAAGUCACGGCUAACUACGGGCCAGCAGCCGCGGUAAUACGUAGGUGGCGAGCGUUAUCCGGAAUGGUUGGGCGUAAAGGGUGCGUAGGCGGCCUGCUAAGUCUGGAGUGAAAGGUACCGGCUCAACCGGUACAGGCUCUGGAAACUGGCGGGCUAGAGGGGAGGGGAGGGCGGUGGAACUCCAUGUGUAGCGGUAAAAUGCGUAGAUAUAUGGAAGAACAUCAGUGGCGAAGGCGGCCGCCUGGCCUGUUAACUGACGCUGAGGCACGAAAGCGUGGGGAGCAAAUAGGAUUAGAUACCCGAGUAGUC